RNAcentral lists this unclassified non-coding RNA (242 nucleotides) under Carex obtusata. Its description in RNAcentral is "partial internal transcriber spacer 1". Lineage: Eukaryota; Viridiplantae; Streptophyta; Magnoliopsida; Poales; Cyperaceae. The record is from RNAcentral.
CUGCGGAAGGAUCAUUGUCGUUGCCUCUCGAAAAACACGACCGUUGCACACGUGACAGAAYGCUGCCGGGGAGGUGCUCGCUGCCUCCCCGGCCCCACCGGCCUCUUCCCUCACGCCCUCCGGGGCGCGUCGGUYGCUGGYCGGAAUACGGCGCGGGAUGACGCCAAGGAACACGAGAAAGYCGAGGCGCCGGCGAGCCGCUCAGCGACCGCGCCGGGYGCCGAGGCCAAUGAAAAAAAUAC